AAGACUACAACUCAGUAAAACAGAGGGUCAGGUAUGGCUUGCUGUCUAUCAACUCCUUAUGAACGAGGAUUGUCAGAGAAAGUACGAACUUAACUCUUAUAGCAAGGAACAAAUUUUAAAGCUAAGAGGUUUUAUGAAUGAGGUACUUCUAGACCAGAUUCCCAGCUUAAUAGAUCUACAAAGAUACCUUGAGCAAUUAUCUAUCAUGGAACCACCGGCUAUGAAAAAAGAUAUUAUUCUGGAACAGGUAAAUGAUCGUUGUUUGUUUA
Molecule: long non-coding RNA, 269 nt
Organism: Orbicella faveolata
Lineage: Eukaryota; Metazoa; Cnidaria; Anthozoa; Scleractinia; Merulinidae
Source: RefSeq, a predicted model, not a curated record